This 200-nucleotide ribosomal RNA is filed under the name uncultured bacterium. Its description in RNAcentral is "partial 16S ribosomal RNA". It matches the Rfam family "Bacterial small subunit ribosomal RNA", at positions 8 to 220 of the family's 1533-position model. The record is from RNAcentral.
AGAGUUUGAUCCUGGCUCAGGACGAACGCUUGCGACGUGCCUAAGAAAUGCAAGUCGAACGGGGUAGCAAUACCUAGUGGCGAACGGUCGCGUAACACGUGGGCAACCUGCCCCAGAGCGGGGGAUAACACUCCGAAAGGAAUGCUAAUACCGCAUGUGGCGGCUCUCUGCAUGGAGAGUUGGCUAAAGAUUUAUCACUC